GCUAAUUUCUUUUCCUCCGCACUCAUUUCACUACUAGUGCUACUACCAGAGACUGACAUUAAGGUCUCAUAGUAGCCCAAGCUCACAGCCAUUAACCCAAAUUGGGUGAAGUUCUGCAAGUGCUGCAUCAAUCUGUUAGCCCUUUCCUCAGUCUCCAUGUCAAGGCAGAGAAGUGCACCAUAUCCAUAGUCCUUAUUAGCCAUGGACUUGAGGAGCUCAUGUUGUGGGUGGUCUUCAAGGCCUGGGUAGUUGACUUUGAGGCCUAGUUUCUUCAUUCUUGUUGCAAACUCCAUCGCUCGGUGGCAAUGUUCCUUCAUUCUGAGGCCCAAAUGAGGAAUCCUCCCUGACAACUCAAAGGCCACCUUGGCGUUCAUUGUAGGCCCAAGAAGCAUCAAAGUCCCUUGAUGAAGGUCCAUCAUUGAGUUCACAAGGCUGGCCGGCCCACAAACAGCACCUGCAAUGAUAUCAGCUCCGCCGCUGAUGAACUUGGAAAUACUAUGCACAACCACGUCCGCCCCUAGACGUGCCGGAGACAGGACCACUGGGGCAAAAGUGUUGUCCACUACCACCAUCACACCUUUCUCAUGGGCAAUUCUGCUGAGUUCAGGGAUAUUAGCUACGGUGAGAGUAGGAUUCGACAUGGACUCGAAGUAAAACACCUUGGUUUUGCCUUCAACUAUGGCAUUUUUCACCAUUUCUACAUCUCCAAUUUCAACAAACGUCGUCGUUAUGUUGCACGCCCUCGGUAAGAAAUGGCUCAACAGGGCGUGAGUCCCACCAUACAGAGCCCUCGAAGCCACCACGUGUCCUCCACUGCUGCAAAGUUGCAAUAACACCGAGGAUAUCGCAGACAUACCGCUAGCAGUGCAAUAGGCGGCCUCGGUUCCUUCCAGGGCGGCCAUCUGGCGGCCAAGAUUCAAGACGGUGGGGUUGAAGUGGCGACUGUAGAUGAAGAAGUCCCGAUC
This 965-nucleotide unclassified non-coding RNA is filed under the name Hevea brasiliensis (rubber tree). The record is from RNAcentral. Lineage: Eukaryota; Viridiplantae; Streptophyta; Magnoliopsida; Malpighiales; Euphorbiaceae.